RNAcentral lists this ribosomal RNA (164 nucleotides) under Primulina wentsaii. Its description in RNAcentral is "5.8S ribosomal RNA". It matches the Rfam family "5.8S ribosomal RNA". Rfam says of the family: 5.8S ribosomal RNA (5.8S rRNA) is a component of the large subunit of the eukaryotic ribosome. It is transcribed by RNA polymerase I as part of the 45S precursor that also contains 18S and 28S rRNA. Functionally, it is thought that 5.8S rRNA may be involved in ribosome translocation. The record is from RNAcentral. Lineage: Eukaryota; Viridiplantae; Streptophyta; Magnoliopsida; Lamiales; Gesneriaceae. RNAcentral also lists the same sequence under 3 other names.
CUGACGACUCUCGGCAACGGAUAUCUCGGCUCUCGCAUCGAUGAAGAACGUAGCGAAAUGCGAUACUUGGUGUGAAUUGCAGAAUCCCGUGAACCAUCGAGUCUUUGAACGCAAGUUGCGCCCGAUGCCUUCGGGCUGAGGGCACGUCUGUUUGGGCGUCAAGC